GAUGAACGCUGGCGGCGUGCCUAAUACAUGCAAGUCGAGCGAACAGACGAGGAGCUUGCUCCUCUGACGUUAGCGGCGGACGGGUGAGUAACACGUGGAUAACCUACCUAUAAGACUGGGAUAACUUCGGGAAACCGGAGCUAAUACCGGAUAAUAUAUUGAACCGCAUGGUUCAAUAGUGAAAGACGGUUUUGCUGUCACUUAUAGAUGGAUCCGCGCCGCAUUAGCUAGUUGGUAAGGUAACGGCUUACCAAGGCAACGAUGCGUAGCCGACCUGAGAGGGUGGUAGCCCACACGGGAGGGGGAACGGGGACAAGACGCCUGCGGGAGGGAGCAGAAGGAAAUGUGAGGAAGGGGGGGAAAACCGGACGAAACAGGCGGGAGUGGGAGGAAAAGGUGUCGGGUGCGAAAAACUGUUUUAUGGGGGAAAAAAAAAUGUGUAAGAACAUGUAGAGGUAUUGACGGUAAUUAAUAAAAAAGCACCGGCUAACGACGUG
RNAcentral lists this ribosomal RNA (497 nucleotides) under uncultured bacterium. RNAcentral's name for it is "partial 16S ribosomal RNA". It matches the Rfam family "Bacterial small subunit ribosomal RNA", at positions 28 to 507 of the family's 1533-position model. The record is from RNAcentral.